RNAcentral lists this ribosomal RNA (394 nucleotides) under uncultured bacterium. Its description in RNAcentral is "partial 16S ribosomal RNA". It matches the Rfam family "Bacterial small subunit ribosomal RNA", at positions 338 to 729 of the family's 1533-position model. The record is from RNAcentral.
CCUACGGGAGGCAGCAGUGAGGAAUAUUGGUCAAUGGCCGGAAGGCUGAACCAGCCAAGCCGCGUGAAGGACGAAGGUGCCAAGCAUUGUAAACUUCUUUUGUCAAAGGACAAAAUCAGGCACGAGUGCCUGGCUGAGGGUACUUGAAGAAAAAGCAUCGGCUAACUCCGUGCCAGCAGCCGCGGUAAUACGGAGGGUGCAAGCGUUGUCCGGAUUCAUUGGGUGUAAAGGGUUCGUAGGUGGAUUAAUAAGUCUGGUGUGAAAUGCACGAGCUCAACUUGUGACCGGCACUUGAUACUGGUGAUCUUGAGUGCGGGAGAGGUAGAGGGAAUGUCUGGUGUAGCGGUGAAAUGCGUAGAGAUCAGACAGAACACCGGUUGCGUAGGCAGUUUAC